This 1354-nucleotide long non-coding RNA is filed under the name Vulpes vulpes (red fox). RNAcentral describes it as "lncRNA (ENSVVUG00000019377.1)". The record is from RNAcentral. Lineage: Eukaryota; Metazoa; Chordata; Mammalia; Carnivora; Canidae.
AUGCUUAGUCAUGUACCAGUGCCUGCCUCAUGCUCAUUUGUUUGUCUUUGUGCCCACGACAUCAUUGACAUGGCAAUUGUGACAACUGCUCAGCUGUCCACUCAAGCAGUUGAUAUGAUCAUUGUCUUGAAGGUCAGUGAUGAUUCCCUAACCACCAGAUCCAAUGCCUUAUUGUUGAUCAUCUUUCCAGAAAUCUCUGCUUCUCCAGAGGAAGCCAACAGUCACCAGAGGGAGGAAACAUGGAUUUGGGAAUGUAAGAAGAGCCUUAAACAUUUUAAGGCGAAAAUCAGGGAAACCAGACCAUGUCUCAAGGUGGAGAAAGAAGAUUGUGACAGGGACUCUAUUUUAAAUUAGACACCCCCAUAAUAGGAAUGUGAGUCCCAAAACAUUGGGUUCAGGGAUGGGGUGGUUUAAACUUUCUAUCUCAUGCCAGGACUGAUCUAAGACUAGAGCUUUGCUGUCCAAAAAACAAAAUAUAAUGUAUGCCUCAGAUUUGAGCUACACAUAUAGUUUUCAGUAAUUUUCUAGUAGCCACAUUUUUAAAAAGUAUACAGAAAUAAGUGAAGUGAAUUUCAAUCAUGUAUUUUAUUUAACCCAUAUAUAUUUAAUAUUAUUGUUUUAACAUGUGAUCAGUAAAACAUUAUUAAUCAGAUUUUUACAUUCUUUUUCUCAUACUAAGUCUGUGAAAUCUGGAUUUAUUUUACAUUUAUAGCACAUCUCAAUUUGGGCUAGCCACAUUUAAGUGCUCCAUACCGCAUGUGGCUAGUGGCUACCCUAUUGGACAGUGCAGGUCUAGAGCGCAAGGGGAAAGACUCAAGUUUGUGGGAAGGAAUCCAGUGGCCUUUGCUAGGGGAGGAAUGACUGAGACUUCUGGGGACUGGACGCCUGCUAGUUGCCUGAUUAAUCUCAUAAAUGGCAGAUCUUAGCAUGUCCUUUGAUAUGCUCAAAAACAUUUACUAUCAAAUAACAAUAACAACAGGCCUAUUGCAGUAUCCAGAUUUCUCAGUGUGACAUGGAGGUCCUUCUUCGUGUCUACUUGGCCUCUACUGAUGGUGUUUUCUCCUUCCCACUCUCCCUUCAUCUGCGAUUGUGCCAUCUCUGUUUUUUAAAUGCAGCAGAAGUCCUCUUUUUGUAGCAUGUCUAGUUAACUAGUUUAUUGAGAAAAGUCACUGAAAGAAGGACAUUAUAAAAAAGUAUAAACUGAGGGGCGCCUGGUAGCUCCAUGGGUUAAGCAUGUGGCUCUUGAUCUUGGCCCUGAUCUUGAUCUCAGGGUGGUGAGAUUGGCCUCCUGUCUGACUCCCAGCUGAGAAUGAAGCCUGCUUGGGAUUCUUUCUCUCCCUCUCCCUCUGCCCUC